AUUUCAUACUUAAAACAAUAUUCUAUGCAAAAUGCUAUAAUUUCCCCUUGCCUCCAAUUUACACAUGAUAAAACUGAGCCUAGUAAAAUUAAGUAUCAUGCCCCAAAGUUCUCUGCUUAGUAAGAAGUAGAGGCAAGCCCAAACCUAAGUCAUCUGAUUUCAGAGCCCAUACAGUUAAAUGCUCUAAAUGCAGCUUCCCGUGAUGAUGGUGACUAUGAGAGCCUGUCACAUAUGAUGUAGGACAGUGCUUCCCUGUAACAUGCACAAGAUUCCCGUGAUGAUGGUGAUUAUGAGAGCCUGUCACCUACGAUGUAGGACAGUCCUUCCCUGUAACAUGCACAAGAUUCCUGUGAUGAUGGUGACUAUGAGAGCCUGUCACAUAUGAUGUAGGACAGUGCUUCCCUGUAACAUGCACAAGAUUCCCGUGAUGAUGGUGACUCUGAGACCCUGUCACCUACGAUGUAGGACAGUGCUUCCCUGUAACCUUCCCUGUAACAUGCACAAGAUUCCUGUGAUGAUGGUGACUAUGAGAGCCUGUCACAUAUGAUGUAGGACAGUGCUUCCCUGUAACGUGCAAGAUUCCCUUGAUGAUGGUGACUAUGAGAGUCUGUCACAUACGAUGUAGGACAGUGGUUCCCUGUAACAUGCACAAGAUUCCCGUGAUGACGGUGACUAUGAGAGCCUGUCAGAUACGAUGUAGGACAGUGCUUCCCUGUAACAUGUGCAAGAUUCCCGUGAUGAUGGUGACUAUGAGAGCCUGUCACAUAUGAUGUAGGACAGUGCUUCCCUGUAACAUGUGCAAGAUUCCCAUGAUGAUGGUGACUAUGAGAGCCUGUCACAUAGGAUGUAGGACAGUGCUUCCCUGUAACAUGCACAAGAUUCACCCAGGGAUCUCUUUAAAAUGCAAAACCAUAGACCACACUUUGACUGGCUUGGAUAAGGGGUCAGAGCAUCGAAAUGAGUGUGUAGGUGACUGUGCUAAAAUUCUCCUGCUCAUGUGGGCACUGGCUCAUGAUAUUAACAAAGCUUAGGACCUCUAGUCCUUUCUGGAAAGAAAAUACACAUACAUAGCAUGUGACUGUGCAUAUGGAAUAUCUGUUGUGUUCUGGACAUUGUGCUGGACAACAGAGAUAAGAAGUCAAAUAUCCCUUGUCUCUAUCUGAAAGGAGCUUCC
RNAcentral lists this long non-coding RNA (1174 nucleotides) under Homo sapiens (human). RNAcentral's name for it is "HSALNT0082685". Lineage: Eukaryota; Metazoa; Chordata; Mammalia; Primates; Hominidae. The record is from RNAcentral.